CUAAGGCAUACCCCCAAAAAGAGAUUGGUAGUGAAGCACGACUCAUCAUAGAGCGAACCAUAUCCAAUAAGGUUCGAUUACGCCUUUCUGCCACACCAUUCAACUGCGGUGUCCUAGGAGGCGUCAAUUGUGAAACUAUUCCACACUCCUUGAGAUAAUCGUGGAAUUCAAGACUUAGGUACUCUCCUCCUCGAUCGGAUCGAAGCAUCUUGAUUUUCCUGCCCAAUUGAUUCUCCACUUCAUUCUUGAACUCUUUGAACUUUUCAAAGGUGUCUGACUUUUGCUUGAUUAAGUAGAUAUACCCAUAUCUACUAUAGUCAUCGGUAAAAGUCACAUAGAAGCGGUUCCCAUCCUUCGUGGUUGAUCUAAACGGUCCACAUACAUCGGUAUGUAUUAGGUCCAAUAGACCCUCGCCCCUUUCACAUGUACUCGUGAAGGGUGACUUAGUCAUCUUUCCAAGCAAACAAGACUCGCAUGUGUCAUCUUCCCUAAGGUCGAAUGACUCCAACACUCCAUCCUUUUGGAGUUGGGCUAUGCGUUUCUUGUUGACAUGUCCAAGACGACAAUGCCACAAGGAUGCUUUAUCCAUACUAGUGGAAGAAUCAAUAUUCAAAACAUCAUUUCCUAAGUUAUCAACAAUCAUAACGGUUUCAUAUAUUCCAUUACAUGGUAUAGCUUCAAAGUAAAAGACACCAUUUAGAUAAGCCAAAAUAGAACCAUUCUCAUUAUUAAAAGAAAAUCUAAAUCCUUGUCUAUAUAAACCAUGAAAUGAAAUGAUGUUUCUUGCCAUUUCUGGCGAAUAGCAACAAUUGUUCAAAUCUAAAACUAAACUAUUCCUAAGCACUAAGGAAUACACUCCAAUCUUGGUCACAGGCGACGAUCUUCUGUUCCCCAUGAUUAGAUUGAUCCUUCCUUGCUCCACAUCCCUACUUCUUCUUAGUCCCUGCACAUUAGAACAAAUGUGAUAACCACAACCGGUAUCAAGAACCCAAGAAAUAGCAUGAUUAGAAUCGUUAGAUUUGAUUGUAUAUAUACCUGCGAAAGAUGGCUUGAUCUUUCCUUCUUUGAUUGCUUGCAGGUAAUCCGGGCAGCUUCUCUUCCAAUGUCCUAUCUUGUGGCAGUGGUGGCACUCUGCCUCCUUCGGGUUAGAGCAGGGCUUAGCGGGAUCAACUUUGGUCCCACUAGAAGAGGCACCAUCUCGGGCUUUCACCUUGCGAUAGUUCUUCGAUGAAGCUUUCCUCUUCUUUCCCUUCCCUUGUCCAAUAGCCAAGACAGGAGCAGCGGGCGGAUUGGGAGUAGGUGCAACAGACUUGUCUUUGAAGUUGCUCUCAGCAACCCUCAAGAGACCUUGGAGCUUGCUUAGGGUGACCUCUUCUUUGUUCAUGUGGUAGGUCAUCCUAAAUUGAUUGUACAUCGGAGGCAAAGAGUGAAGCACCAUGUCGAUCGCCAAAUCCUCACCGAAGUCAACAUUUAACUUGCGAAGGCGGUCGACAUACCUUUGCAUCUUUUGCAAGUGCACGGUAAGAGAUUCUCCAUGACCCAUCUUCGCGGAAAUCAUGUUAGUGAAAAUCUCGUACCUCUCUUGUCUCGCGUUUUGGUGGUACCUCUCCAAUAAGUCUUGGUGCAUCUCGUACGGGUACAUGUCCUCGUAGGACUUUUGGAAUUCGGAGUUCAUGGUGGCAAUCAUGAUGCAAUGUACCUUCGUUGCAUCUCGCUCAUGAGUCUCAAAAGCGGUGAUUUCGGCCGGAGUAGCGAUUUCGGGGUUGAUUUUCUCGAGCUUCUCAUCGAGGACAUACUCCUUAUCCUCAUAGCGAGCAAUGGUGCGAAUGUAUCUUAUCCAUUCGCUAAAGUUCGUUCCAUCGAAGGUGACCUUUUGGCAAAGGCUCAUCAACGUGAAAGAACUAGCAGCAGCGUUGUUUGCGUUCGACAUCUACAAUUAGAAAAGGACAAAGAUAGAUUAGAAUAAGAAUCCCUAAUUAUCACCCAAUAAGAAAAUUAGGGCUAGGAUCCAACAAUAACAUUUACAUACUAGAAAAGGGAUGCCGUAAUCUAACAUGCAAAUAAAUUGAAGGUAAGUGAAUGACGAUUCACUAAUUCUCCAUCACAAAACUUAAACUAUUAGUCCUAAGUGUUUUUGAGAAUUCCUAGGUUCGGAUGAGAUUCAUUGAAACUAUUCAAUGGCAUGUUUAAAUCUCGAUAUGCCCCUCUUGUUUGUGACUGGGAUGCCGAGGAUCACAAAGCGGGUGUGAAUUACCAUGCAAAUUCACAUGGUGCCUUCAUUGUAACGAUCACCUAUUCGAUGUGCCGGUAAACCACACACGCUCCAUCGAACUAUGAUAAACAAUGAAUCACCCUUUGCCACCUUCGCUUAGAACCAAUUAGUGUGCCGGUAAACCACACACGCUCCACUAACAUCUUAGCAAGGUGCAAAGUGUAAUUUCAUGGGAUUGCAUCAAUUCACUUUUCCUAAAGUAACUAGGAUUGGGAAAUUUUAAAAUAUGUGUAGUUACUUUGUAUUUCUUAUUAUACUUUUAAUGAGAGGAUGAGGUUGCCCUAUCCUACCCGUUCGGCUAACGACCCUCCACCAAUCAAGCAAGCGGUGGGUGUGAGUGUACACCCAUUAAGCGCCAUUUUAUAGGCCGCAACCUUAUACCCACCUUAUAGAUCGGCUUCGUGAAUGAGGCCUACUAACGGUAAGACUAGCAUUUAGUUAUACAUAUAUAUAUUAUUCUAGUAAUAUCAUAUUAGUAUAGGGUUGUAUUUUAAAACUUUUAAAAUCUAGGGUUUGAAAUUUAAGUUGUCUAAAUUAAAACUUUUAAUCACAAAAGUAAAUUUCAAAACAUGAGGGUAGGUUUUAAACAUUUAAAACAUGGAGGAUCAAAUAACAAAUAAUUCCAAUUAACAAUUAAUAUCCUAAUUAUCUAUAUUUGAUUUAUUCAAGAUUUCUUUUUAAGAUAAUUACCAAAAUAAUUAAAAUAAUUAAUUAAUUAUCAUAUAAGGAAAUUAAAUAUUUAAUUAGUUGAUAAUUACCUUUAACUAGAUCAAGAUAAUAGUUAUAUUUAUCAGAAAAACGAAUUAAUGUUGAUCUAAUUAGUUUAUGGUAAGUUAAGAUAAGAUAAACACAAAGAAAUCCCGAAUCUGGCCAUUCCUGACGCCUGGACUCGCCGAGUGCACAAAUGGACUCGCCGAGUCAGGCCUACUCGCCGAGUCCACUUUGGGACUCGCCGAGUCCAUGACUCAGAAACCAAAAAAUCGAAUUUUGCAGGUUUGUUUCAGUUAAUCAAGCAACAAUUUAAAGAAAACCAAGCUAGGCUCUGAUACCACUGAUGGGUUUUAGCCAUAAGAACUUUCCUAUGUGCGCAUGCAAAACCCUAAUGCUUGGAUCUAGGCUUUCUAAUAAACAUGCAUUGAAUCCAAGUCUUCUAAUGACUAAUUAGGUUAAAUAACAACAUUGAAACAGAUCUAGAAUCAUACCUUUGAGUUCCUUGUUGAUCUUGAGGUCUUGGAGCUUCUAGAGUCACAAGUGUCACUCCUCUAAUGGCUUACAAACACCAAUAGCAAUAAGAAUGAUUUAGGAGAGAGGAGAGGGGAGGAAUUCGACCAGAGUUCUCUUGCUUUUUCAGAAGUGUCGAAUUCCCUAUGCCAUGGGGUCUAUUUAUACUUGUAGACUCCUUAAGGAUUACAGAUAAGUCCCUAUCAGAUAAUCUUCUCUUAAGGCUAUCCAAAUCCAUUCCUAGAUAACUCUAAUGGACGAUUUUAGCUAUCCUAAUCCUCUUAGAAUUCGUCCAUAGCAUAUCCAAAUGGAUUUACAGUCUAAAGCUUAACUAUCAAACAAUUGACAGUUUAUACCCCUUUAUUUAAUUAAUCUCUUUAAGUCACCAAAUUAAUUCUAAUUAAUUCUAUGACUUAUAUUAAUCAAAUAACAAAUAUAUUAUUCAUUAUAUUAUUCUCAUAAUAUAUUAAUAAUAUUUACUCUCUCUUAAUAAAUCAUCCUAUCAAGUUGCUAUGGUGAAGGCAACCCAAAAGGACCAUGCACAACCGGAUCAAAUACUUGCCUAAUAUAGUUACAGCCUUAGACACUAUUCCAACAGUCUCCCACUUGGAUAAGUCUAGUAACUAUACAAGUACAAUUCGGUUUGCAAUCGUAGCUCUCAAAGACGCUGUCAACUCUGAUCUAAUCAAUCUUGUCCUUUAGAUAAGGGAACGUACAGUCCUCUGUUAGAUAUCAUGCUGACAAUCCUAUGGAAUGGUUAGUCAAGCAUUUAGGUUUCUCGAUCUCUGAUUUAUUUGACAUAGAACUUAAUCGAACACAUCAAUUCAGUUCUGACCGGGCCCGGCACAUAAGUCAAAUCAAAUCAUCGAGCGGCCGAGAUAUCGCUUUUACCUUCUUAGAUAAAAGUUACAGAUAAACUUCGACUUAUAUGCAUUUACUUAUUCAUUUACCAACUAUACACAACAAUACGUUUUAUAACACCAAGUUACUGAUGCGUUUUCGUAUUAUCAAUGUACAAUCAAUUAACAAAUAAUAAACCAUAUAUCUAGGUUUUAAGACUAUAUGAUAUUAUCGUCUUGCGAUCACCUUUUAUAUCGUAUUCCAUAAGGUGAUUCCAGCAAGCGCGGGUUUAUUCCAAUGCUCAAAACUAGUUCAUAAGCACUCAUGAACGUUGCAGCAAUCCUUUGCUAUGUCUAACACCAUUUAGACAUUCUACACACCAAUUCAUGACAAUCUUCAUUCAUAUCUACUCCCAACAUAUGAACGAUUGUGGACCAUUUGAACAAUUCGAUUAUUCCUAAUAAACUCAAUUAUUCUGGAAGUCAAAACAUGCAAAGUGAAACAAUAGCUAAACAAUUAACAUAAGAUAGUAACAUUACUCAUAAAUAAAACUCCUUUAUUUAAUCAUCAAAUGUUAAUUACAUUUAUCUAUUACACGUUUCUAAUACUAUCUAAUCUAUGCUAAUAUCAUCCUUCAGCCCAAUACUCCUAGCAUGCUGCAAGUGCUUAACCCUACUCAGUCCCUUCGUAAGCGGAUCUGCUGGGUUAUCUUCUGAUGAUAUCCUCUUCACUACGAGUUGUCCUUCUUCUACACGAUGUCUAAUGAAGUGAUACUUUCUGUCGAUAUGUCUUGAUCUACCAUGAUCCCUCGGUUCCUUGGUCAAGGCAACCGCGCCUUCGUUAUCACAGAAAAUCUCCAUUGGCUCCUUUAUGGCAGGUACAACUCCAAGAUCACCGAUGAAGUUCUUUAGCCAUAUUGCCUCCUUCGACGCUUCGCUCGCUGCAAUGUACUCUGAUUCGCACGUUGAAUCAGCUACGGUUUCCUGCUUGGAACUCUUCCAUGUCACUGCUCCUCCAUUUAGGGUAAAGACCCAGCCCGACUGCGAACGGUAGUUGUCCCUGUCGGUCUGAAAACUGGCGUCACUAUACCCUCGCACCUUCAAGUCAUCACUCCCUCCGAGGACUAAGAACCAUUCCUUCGUCCUCCGAAGGUACUUAAGGAUAUUCUUCACCGCAAUCCAAUGUGCUUUGCCAGGAUUCCCUUGAUAUCUGCUAACCAUGCUCAAAGCGAAGGCUACAUCAGGGCGAGUACAAGUCAUAGCGUACAUGAUUGAGCCAACUGCGGAAGCGUAUGGUACUCGGCUCAUUUCUGCUAUCUCAGCUUCGGUACUCGGACUUUGAGUCUUACUCAAUUUGGCAUUACUUUGUAUCGGUAGUUCUCCCUUCUUUGAGUUUUCCAUACUAAAACGUUUUAGUACCUUCUCUAAGUAAGUAUUCUGACUAAGUCCAAUUAGUCUCUUACUUCUUUCUCUUACUAUCCUUAUUCCCAAAAUGUAAGAAGCCUCUCCGAGGUCCUUCAUAGCGAAGCACUUCCCGAGCCAGGACUUAACCUCCUGCAGAGUCGGGAUGUCGUUUCCUAUGAGUAAUAUGUCAUCGACAUAUAGAACGAGGAAGCUUACUAUACUCCCACUGGCUUUGACAUAUACACAAGAUUCGUCUUCGCUUCGUACAAAUCCAAACUCUUUGACUUUCUCAUCGAAGCAAAGAUUCCAUCUGCGAGACGCUUGCUUAAGUCCAUAAAUGGACUUCUCAAGCUUACACACUCUAUUCGGAUGCUUCGGAUCCACAAACCCCUCUGGCUGAGCCAUGUAAACAUCCUCAGCCAACUUUCCGUUAAGGAAAGCGGUCUUGACAUCCAUUUGCCAAAUCUCAUAAUCAUGAAAUGCGGCAAUAGCUAGCAUCACUCUAAUAGAUUUAAUCUUCGCAACUGGUGAGAAGGUCUCAUCAUAGUCAACUCCGGGAGUUUGAGUAAAGCCCUUCGCAACCAAUCGCGCUUUAUAUGUGUGUACGUUUCCAUCCACGUCGGUCUUCUUCUUGAAGAUCCAUUUGCACCCAACGGUCUUACGUCCGGGCACAUAAUCAACCAAAUUCCAAACUUGGUUAUCAUACAUGGAUUGGAUCUCGCUAUCCAUUGCCUCUUUCCAUUUUGCAGACUCCGGGCCUGCCAUGGCUUCCUUAUAGCUAUUAGGUUCAUCAAGAUUUAUUAGUGUACCAUCACUAAUAUACGUGUCCCCUUCGGUAGUAAUAUGAAAACCAUAAAACUGGGGAUGAACUCUAACUCUAUCGGAACGUCUAAGAGGUAAGGAUUCGUCAAUCGGUUCAACCGGAGUUUCCUCCUCGGGUUGAGUGCCAGCGGUAGAGGUUCCUUCAUCUAUCGACUCUUGAAUCUCUUCAAGUUCGAUUUGCCUCCCACUGUCUCCUUGGCUUAUGAGUUCUCGCUCUCGGAAAACUCCUCUCCUCGCAACGAAGACAACAUUGUCCUUCGGUCUAUAGAAGAGAUAUCCAAAGGAUUUCUGCGGGUAGCCGAUGAAAAUACAUCGCUCACUACGAGGUUCGAGCUUGUCGUGAGUAUCUCGUCUUACGAAAGCCUCGCAACCCCAAACCUUGAUAUGUGCUAACGAGGGAGCCUUCCCUGUCCACAUUUCGUGAGGUGUUUUGGCAACCUUCUUAGUAGGGACUCGGUUAAGGAUAUGGGCGGCAGUCUCUAAGGCAUACCCCCAAAAUGAGAUAGGUAGUGAAGCACGACUCAUCAUAGAGCGAACCAUGUCUAACAAGGUUCGAUUACGCCUUUCUGCCACACCAUUCAACUGCGGUGUCCUAGGUGGCGUCAAUUGUGAAACUAUUCCACACUCCUUGAGAUAGUCGUGGAAUUCAAGACUUAGGUACUCUCCUCCUCGAUCGGAUCGAAGUAUCUUGAUUUUCCUGCCCAAUUGAUUCUCCACUUCAUUCUUGAACUCUUUGAACUUUUCAAACGUUUCUGACUUUUGCUUGAUUAAGUAGAUAUACCCAUAUCUACUAUAGUCAUCGGUAAAAGUCACAUAUAAGCGGU
This 7382-nucleotide long non-coding RNA is filed under the name Lactuca sativa (garden lettuce). RNAcentral's name for it is "long non-coding RNA (LSAT_LNC003714)". The record is from RNAcentral. Lineage: Eukaryota; Viridiplantae; Streptophyta; Magnoliopsida; Asterales; Asteraceae.